GGGUUGCGGGUAUGCGGGCAGUAGUUAUUUGGGGAACUGUGAAGGUUAGAAGAAGGAUAAGGGAGGAAUUACCCAAUAGCGAAUAGGGUAAAUCGAAGGAGAAGCAGAGUUGGUGGGAAGGGGAAGAUGAUACACAGGAAAUGGAGUUUGCUAACAGGCCCAGUUGCCAUUCUGGGUUCAAUCGUCGGCGCUGUUGUCGUCGCCAACUACCUCUUCAUCGAAAAUGAUUGGUUCCUUAAGCCAGAUCCAAGGAAACAAGAAACUCUGCCUGCAUCCAAGUGAAGAGGAAAUAAGAGGGGAAAAAAAUCCUUCUUCAAUGUGAUUUAACCUGGCUUUCAGUGUCUAUUUCUGGGCAUGUUAUCAGAACUGAUGUUUUUGAGUUUAUGUUGGAAUAAAUAUUUGUUUGGAUAAGUUGAUUUUUGCCAGUUACAUGUAGAAUUUUCUUUCAGUUUGGAUGGAUAACCUGCAGUUGUUCAGUUCUUAUUGAUGUAAACAUCUUUUGGGCUGCCUUCUCAAUCUUUUGGUAAGAUUUGGACAGAUUCGGUACAAAUAUGGAGAAUGUGACUUGUCAAAAAGGAAUACAGUGUGCUAGAUCCCGUUAUAUCGUUGUUAUUUCUCAAAAAGAAUGAGGAAUUAUCCUGUUAUAAGACUAUACCAUAAAACUCUCCA
Molecule: non-coding RNA, 669 nt
Organism: Coffea arabica (coffee)
Lineage: Eukaryota; Viridiplantae; Streptophyta; Magnoliopsida; Gentianales; Rubiaceae
Source: RefSeq, a predicted model, not a curated record